RNAcentral lists this ribosomal RNA (460 nucleotides) under uncultured bacterium. Its description in RNAcentral is "partial 16S ribosomal RNA". It matches the Rfam family "Bacterial small subunit ribosomal RNA", at positions 338 to 795 of the family's 1533-position model. The record is from RNAcentral.
CCUACGGGGGGCUGCAGUGAGGAAUAUUGGUCAAUGGCCGGAAGGCUGAACCAGCCAUGCCGCGUGAAGGUCAGUGCCCUAUGGGCGUUAAACUUCUUUUGUGCGGGAGCAAUAAUGGUCACGUGUGGCCAGACGAGAGUACCGUACGAAUAAGCAUCGGCUAACUCCGUGCCAGCAGCCGCGGUCAUACGGGGGAGGCAAGCGUUAUCCGGAUUUAUUGGGUUUAAAGUGUGCGUAGGCUGUGAGGUAAGUCAGCGGUGAAAUGCCCCCGCUCAACGGGGUGAAGUGCCAUUGAUACUGCCUGGCUGGAAUGCGGAUGCCGUGGGAGGAAUGUGUGGUGUAGCGGUGAAAUGCAUAGAUAUCACACAGAACACCGAUUGCGAAGGCAUCUCACGAAUCCGCGAUUGACGCUGAUGCACGAAAGCGUGGGUAUCAAACAGGAUUAGAUACCCCAGUAGUC